This 253-nucleotide ribosomal RNA is filed under the name uncultured bacterium. RNAcentral describes it as "partial 16S ribosomal RNA". It matches the Rfam family "Bacterial small subunit ribosomal RNA", at positions 524 to 776 of the family's 1533-position model. The record is from RNAcentral.
UACGAAGGGGGCUAGCGUUGUUCGGAAUUACUGGGCGUAAAGGGCGCGUAGGCGGUCCUUCAAGUCAGGCGUGAAAGCCCCGGGCUCAACCUGGGAACCGCGCUUGAGACUGGCGGGCUAGAGUUCGGGAGAGGAUGGUGGAAUUCCCAGUGUAGAGGUGAAAUUCGUAGAUAUUGGGAAGAACACCGAUGGCGAAGGCAGCCAUCUGGACCGACACUGACGCUGAGGCGCGAAGGCGUGGGGAGCAAACAGG